AUGGAAAGGACUGACAACAGGUGCAGUUGUCUUGCACAUAUUCUAUUUAAGGUUGAUAAUGGUGUUCAUGAAGUCAUGUAGUACAUGUCUGAGCAUAAUCAUGCAUUUCUCCCAGAAAAUCAAAGGCACCUGAUAAGAUGUGGAAUGAUGAUAUUAGAUCCAAGUAAAGGAGUCUUGGAUGACAUGGCAAAAGCCAGCAUUGUAAAUUUCAGUCAUAUAACUUUUUGGAAAAUGAAGAUGGAGGAUGUAGAAAUGCAGGGUUUAGUUUGCAUGGUAGCCAUAAUUUCUUGCCAAGUCAAAGUUUAAGUAUUGCGAGGGGCAAGAUUGGCAAACUCUCUUGAAUCAUUUCAUGUACAUGCAGAUGCACAAUCCCAUGUUUUCUUAUGAUGUACAAGUAGAUCAAGAUGGCAGGUUGACAAACUUAUUUGGAGAAAUAGUUUGUCUUAAUUUGAUUAUGAUUGUUUCGGUGACAAUGUGAUGUUUGAUACCACAUAUCAUGUUAGUAAAUAUAACAUGAUAUGUGCAUCUUUUGUUGGGGUUAAUCAUCAUCUGAAGAAUACCUUGUUUGGGUGUGCUCUCUUAUUAGAUGAGACGGUAAAUUCAUCUAUAUGGCUAUUUGAUACGUUUUUGGAGGCAAUGGGAAAUGGGGCACCCAAAACGAUUUUCAUUGACCAAGACGAAGCUAUGGAAAAAAGCUGUUGAAAAGGUGUUUCUGAAUGCACAACAUUGUGUAUGCACAUCACACACUGCAAAGCAUGCUGCUAAAAACAUCCCCAAUCUUUAUGACAAGCCUGAGUUUGGGGACAUUUUCUCAAAACUACUAUUUGGCUGUGAAACAGAGUUCGUAUUUGAAUCCACUUGGAAGGAAAUGGGCACUAAGGAAAACUCUUGGCUUAACAGACUAUAUGAAUCGAGAAAUAAAUGGAGUGUGGCCUUUGGUGGAGGUAAAAUAUAUAAGGGAGACUGAAGUUUGAGAUGAUCACAAUUCUCGAGAUGUCUGAAUAUUGCAACACGGCAUAUGCAGGUGUACUGAGUCAGGGAUCAUCAUAUUCUUAUCAAUAUCUUGGCAGAAAUGUAGCCAAUGAAUCUGAAGGAACUAACAUGCAAGGUUUACAAGGUUGAUCAAUCCAUCGCUAGAGGCAGAGUAAAUAUGGUUUUGUGGGUAUAGAAUGUCUAACUUGGAUACAUGUAUAGUAUAUCUCAGGACAAGUAAGCAAUUUGUGCAUGGAAUGUUGAUUAUAUAUAUCAGUAUUAUGUAAGCUGGUUUAUCUUCACAUGCGGAGUAUAUUACUGUAGACCCUCUGUUACAGUCAUCCCUGUUUUGAGUGCUUCACAGGGAUCCUAUGCUGUAUAUUUUUUUUUCUGGUCAUCCGAUGUUUACCUUUGGCAGGCUCCCUUGGGAAUGUAAUUGUAAGAGAAAUUAGUUACACAAACUGUUUGGGUAGGA
This is an RNA transcript of Eucalyptus grandis, 1447 nucleotides long. RefSeq lists it as uncharacterized. The record is from RefSeq and is a predicted model, not a curated record. The transcript has 4 exons. NCBI's taxonomy places the organism in Eukaryota, Viridiplantae, Streptophyta, Magnoliopsida, Myrtales, Myrtaceae.